Long non-coding RNA from Brassica napus (rape), 567 nucleotides. RefSeq lists it as uncharacterized. The record is from RefSeq and is a predicted model, not a curated record. NCBI's taxonomy places the organism in Eukaryota, Viridiplantae, Streptophyta, Magnoliopsida, Brassicales, Brassicaceae. The transcript is spliced from 2 exons.
AGUUCUUCUGCCAAUUGUUGGAUUAAUUGUAUUGUUCUCCACAUCCUCUCAUGUACUUGAACCUGUAGGACAGUAACGUCGUAAGAUAAAUAUAAGAAAAAUCAGUCUAGAGAUAUUAGGUAUGUCUAAGCUUAGUACAAAAGUAUUCUCUUACUUUUCCUUUUGCAGCCAAUUGAAUGACAACCAGAUGACUUUUUGUGAGUUUCUUCCGUUGUUCAUGCCAUCUCCAUCAAUAAAAGAGGAGUUUGCUUUCGAGAAAAGAACCUACAGCUAAGCAAGUUGUUAUACGGACUGAUGAGUUCUGAACUUUUGUUUAACACCCCACCAACGGCUUGUUCUAUGUUGCAGUCAUACUGAGUUCACCAUAACCAUCAAACCAUGUCUUGCAAAUAACUAAUCAUAUAAAAGACCACCAAAAAAUGUCCUUUAGUAACUUCUAAAAAGAGAACAUGAAACGCAGUAAGGAGUUGAUGUCAAUUUAUUACCUCUGAGGCUUUGUUAUAUAUGAGAAUCGUAUGGUUUUUUAAAUCUGCACAUAUAUAAAAGAAAACAUUUAUUUUUAAGAUA